Non-coding RNA from Acanthosepion pharaonis, 99 nucleotides. The record is from the annotation of a GenBank genome assembly. Lineage: Eukaryota; Metazoa; Mollusca; Cephalopoda; Sepiida; Sepiidae.
UAUACAACUCCGGUUCCCUUACGAUCACCAAAGUUAAGCAACAUUGAGCCUGGUCAAUACCUAGAUGGGUGACUGCUUGGGACUACCAGAUGCUGUAAG